AUGCCUCACCAACGGCUUCCUGACGGUGUGGGCGGUAUUCAACUGGAGCA
This is a regulatory RNA element of Nereida ignava, 50 nucleotides long. It matches the Rfam family "SAM/SAH riboswitch aptamer". The record is from Rfam. NCBI's taxonomy places the organism in Bacteria, Pseudomonadati, Pseudomonadota, Alphaproteobacteria, Rhodobacterales, Roseobacteraceae.